This 523-nucleotide long non-coding RNA is filed under the name Mus spicilegus (steppe mouse). Its description in RNAcentral is "lncRNA (ENSMSIG00000020057.1)". Lineage: Eukaryota; Metazoa; Chordata; Mammalia; Rodentia; Muridae. The record is from RNAcentral.
CAGCAAUGCUCACAAGCCUGGGCCAGAAGCCAUUGCUAGGCUGGACCACUGGAUUCCUCUCUGUCAUGGCCACAGAGUCCGACAUCUACCUGUGUACUGAAGCCAAAGCACCGCGUUCUUUACCUGAUACUAACAGAAAGUCUGAAGCUGCAGUUUGGCCUCUUCUUCCUAAGGCUGUUUGGACAGCUUCAGUUACCUCUGAGUACAAGCAUGAUGCAGUCUGGAAACACUAGCAGGACUUCAUUCUUUCAUGGAUCCAGCAUGCACAACCUGCCUCUCCUGGGGAGGCAUGUGCCAAGAGAUGGUCUGCUUCUUGGCUUCAAAGCAUAAGGAACUUCACCGUUCUUAAAACUGGUACUGAGAUGAGGGCUGCUGGAGGCCUUUUGGUUGACACUUUAUAAAGAGCAUCCUCCAGGAGGAUGCUAUUAAAGUCUUUAUAACGGCAACUAAUGGUGAGGAAAGAGGUUGAGUCAACAUCUAUCUUCUGUCUCUUCUGGAAAUGGAGUGUGCUAAGCAUGGGGCA